This 1555-nucleotide ribosomal RNA is filed under the name Microgale fotsifotsy (pale shrew tenrec). RNAcentral describes it as "16S ribosomal RNA". It matches the Rfam family "Bacterial large subunit ribosomal RNA". Lineage: Eukaryota; Metazoa; Chordata; Mammalia; Afrosoricida; Tenrecidae. The record is from RNAcentral.
AACUGUAUAUUAGCCCAACCAACAUAAACCCAAAUUAUACUAUAAAAAUAAAAUAAAGCAUUCUCCAAUCCAAAGUAUAGGCGAUAGAAAUUUAUACCAAGAUGAGCUAUAGAGACAGUACCGCAAGGGAAAAACUGAAAGAACAAAUACCAGUACAACAAAGCAAAGAUAAAACCUUUUACCUUUUGCAUAAUGAACUAACUAGAAAUGAACUGACAAAGAGACCUUUAGCCACCUACCCCGAAACCAAGCGAGCUACCCUAGAGCAAUUUUCAGAAUCAACUCCUCUAUGUAGCAAAAUAGUGAGAAGACUCUAAGGUAGAGGUGAAAAGCCUACCGAGCCUGGUGAUAGCUGGUUGCCCAAAAAAGAAUCUUAGUUCUACCUAAAACCUACCUAAACUCAUUAAAACAAUAAUGUAGUUUUUAGUUGUAAUUGAAAGAGGGACAGCUCUUUCAACCCAGGAUUCAACCUCCAAUAGUGAGUAAAAACACCUACAUUCCAUAGUUGGCCUAAGAGCAGCCACCAAUUAAGACAGCGUUAAAGCUCAACAAGUCUAACAUCUUAAUCCCAUAAACCACACUAAACUCCUAUUACACUAUUGGGCCAAUCUACACCCAUGUAGAAGAGAUACUGUUAAUAUGAGUAACAAGAAUAAAAUUCUCCAUGCACAAGCUUAUAUCAGAACGAAUGAUCACUGAUAGUUAACGACCUAAUAAACAAAACUACUAUUUAAAGGCAUUAUUACACCAAUCGUUAAUCCAACACAGGCGUGCAUUAAGGAAAGAUUAAACAAAGCAAAAGGAACUCGGCAAACCCUAAUCCCGCCUGUUUACCAAAAACAUCACCUCUAGCAUUACCAGUAUUAGAGGCACUGCCUGCCCAGUGACUUACGUUUAACGGCCGCGGUACUCUGACCGUGCAAAGGUAGCAUAAUCAUUUGUUCUCUAAAUAAGGACUUGUAUGAACGGCCACACGAGGAUUAAACUGUCUCUUGCUUUUUAUCAGUGAAAUUGACCUUCCCGUGAAGAGGCGGGAAUAACAUCAUAAGACGAGAAGACCCUGUGGAGCUUUAAUUAAUACCCCACUGUACUAAUAACCAACCCAAAGGCCUAACAAAUCACAUUAUGGGUAAAAAUUUUGGUUGGGGUGACCUCGGAGCACAAACAAACCUCCGAAAGAUAUUAUACCUAGACAUACCAGUCAAAGUUUAAAUCAACAUUGACCCAAUAAUUUGAUCAACGGACCAAGUUACCCCAGGGAUAACAGCGCAAUCCUAUCUAAGAGUCCAUAUCGACGAUAGGGUUUACGACCUCGAUGUUGGAUCAAGACACCCAGGUGGUGCAGCAGCUAUCAAAGGUUCGUUUGUUCAACGAUUAAAGUCUUACGUGAUCUGAGUUCAGACCGGAGUAAUCCAGGUCGGUUUCUAUCUAUGUCAGUAUUUCUCCCAGUACGAAAGGAUCAGAGAAAUAAGGCCAACUUUCACACAAGCGCCUUAACAUAAAUAAUGAUUUCAUCUCAAUUACACUACUAACAACCAACCCAAGAGCAGGGAUC